This 1143-nucleotide ribosomal RNA is filed under the name Escherichia coli. Its description in RNAcentral is "partial 23S ribosomal RNA". It matches the Rfam family "Bacterial large subunit ribosomal RNA", at positions 432 to 1578 of the family's 2925-position model. The record is from RNAcentral. Lineage: Bacteria; Pseudomonadati; Pseudomonadota; Gammaproteobacteria; Enterobacterales; Enterobacteriaceae.
UCCUGUCUGAAUAUGGGGGGACCAUCCUCCAAGGCUAAAUACUCCUGACUGACCGAUAGUGAACCAGUACCGUGAGGGAAAGGCGAAAAGAACCCCGGCGAGGGGAGUGAAAAAGAACCUGAAACCGUGUACGUACAAGCAGUGGGAGCACGCUUAGGCGUGUGACUGCGUACCUUUUGUAUAAUGGGUCAGCGACUUAUAUUCUGUAGCAAGGUUAACCGAAUAGGGGAGCCGAAGGGAAACCGAGUCUUAACUGGGCGUUAAGUUGCAGGGUAUAGACCCGAAACCCGGUGAUCUAGCCAUGGGCAGGUUGAAGGUUGGGUAACACUAACUGGAGGACCGAACCGACUAAUGUUGAAAAAUUAGCGGAUGACUUGUGGCUGGGGGUGAAAGGCCAAUCAAACCGGGAGAUAGCUGGUUCUCCCCGAAAGCUAUUUAGGUAGCGCCUCGUGAAUUCAUCUCCGGGGGUAGAGCACUGUUUCGGCAAGGGGGUCAUCCCGACUUACCAACCCGAUGCAAACUGCGAAUACCGGAGAAUGUUAUCACGGGAGACACACGGCGGGUGCUAACGUCCGUCGUGAAGAGGGAAACAACCCAGACCGCCAGCUAAGGUCCCAAAGUCAUGGUUAAGUGGGAAACGAUGUGGGAAGGCCCAGACAGCCAGGAUGUUGGCUUAGAAGCAGCCAUCAUUUAAAGAAAGCGUAAUAGCUCACUGGUCGAGUCGGCCUGCGCGGAAGAUGUAACGGGGCUAAACCAUGCACCGAAGCUGCGGCAGCGACGCUGAUGCGUUGUUGGGUAGGGGAGCGUUCUGUAAGCCUGCGAAGGUGUGCUGUGAGGCAUGCUGGAGGUAUCAGAAGUGCGAAUGCUGACAUAAGUAACGAUAAAGCGGGUGAAAAGCCCGCUCGCCGGAAGACCAAGGGUUCCUGUCCAACGUUAAUCGGGGCAGGGUGAGUCGACCCCUAAGGCGAGGCCGAAAGGCGUAGUCGAUGGGAAACAGGUUAAUAUUCCUGUACUUGGUGUUACUGCGAAGGGGGGACGGAGAAGGCUAUGUUGGCCGGGCGACGGUUGUCCCGGUUUAAGCGUGUAGGCUGGUUUUCCAGGCAAAUCCGGAAAAUCAAGGCUGAGGCGUGAUGACGAGGCACU